Molecule: long non-coding RNA, 2246 nt
Organism: Corapipo altera (White-ruffed manakin)
Lineage: Eukaryota; Metazoa; Chordata; Aves; Passeriformes; Pipridae
Exons: 2
Source: RefSeq, a predicted model, not a curated record
AAUGAAACAGCAGAGCCAUCGCACAUUGUUAUGCAACUCACUGUCUGCAAGGGUGGCUCGUAGCUCCUUCUUUAUUCAGCAAGUGCCAAGUGCAUGUUUAAUCAAUGUCACAGCUCACCACAGUGUGCAACUAAAGCCACCGUCAUUCCUCUCUUCAGAUUUGCCUGGCUGAGUUAUGCAAUGCUCUGAAGAAUACCUUGGAAUUCUUUCCAGAGGCUCUGAAUGCAGGUGUGUGACAGCGUUCACACUACUGCCAGCAAAGCAGACUUCUUUUCAUCCUUUUUCAGGCUGGACUAAAAUUACAUAGUGUGACUGCACGUAGUUCGCUGCAUUUGGAAUUACAGCAUGUCAACGUGAGAAAGGCUCUUCAGACGGCUGCCACAAAGAGUAAAUCAAAGGCUGGGUUUUUCUGAAGUCUUAAUAAAUAACUAAGUAUAACUGAAUAAAACCAGGAGCUGUUUGUAUUUUUUUUAAACAAAACAGAAUAGCAUGCAUUUUGUUGCUCUGCAUCAUCGAAGGAAAAAAAGCCACAAUUUUAAUGGGAAUUAGUCAACAGUGAGGAUCAUUACGAGAAAGAGCUUUACUGUUUUUCGACUACACUUGCUUUAGUGGAUUACUGAAAGAGAAUACCAGUCAUUUGGAAGAUCCUGUAACAUUAUUAUCCUCACCGAUAAACUUCAUCAAGAAACUGCUCGUGCUCCUAUCUGAUCUGUCUGAGUGAGGAGAGCAGCCCCUUCAUGAAGAUAAAAGCCUGGCUUGCCACUGAAUCGACAAGUAAGAAGCAUGUCUGAUGACAUUUUAUUCCUGAUGCAAUGUAGGCUAGCUGCCAGAAUACUGGUGAAGGCAUUUGCAGGAAAAAUGGGGACCUCUGCCAUCACAACACUGGAAGAUGUAAAAAGGCAAGAGGAAAAGGAGGAAAAAGAAGAAUCUAUUUUAGCACUGCUUGGAAUCAUUGGAACUGUGCUCAAUUUAUUUGUUAUUGUUUUUGUGUAUAUCUACACUACACUUUGAUGACAUUUUUGAAUAUCAAUUGCACAUCACACAGUGCAAAGACCUGCGAUGGCAAGAAUGAUUUCUAAAGCAAAAAACCUCCACUGUCUGAAAGGAUUAUCAAAAACAUUCCAGAGCAAAGUGUCUGGCUAAGGGUGCUGCAUCAAUGACUGAUAAAUGUAUCUGUAAGCCCAGUUAGAGUGCUACAUUAUGUAAAUGAAGGUAGACAAUAUUCAACUUCUUGUUGGCAACAGAUGAAAUCCAAAUAGCAGGAUCAGAAAUGGCACUUUUUUACUGCCAGCAAACAUGCAAGACAGAAAUGUAAGCAAACACUGAAAAUACUCAGAACAGAGAAAGACAUAAAUUAAAUAUAUAAACAAAUAUAAGCAAGCCCCCAUGAUGCUUUCUAUGGUUUUAUGCAGUAUGUCUCUUCACAGCUGAGACCAGAAAACAGACAAAAAGGGGUUUAUUUUUAGACCACCAUAAUUUAGGCUUAUAACUUACAUUAAUGUAUGAUAAGCGUGGAAACAGGACCACUAUUAUACCAGAAGUUGUAAUACUAUAAAUAAAAUUUUAACUAUUGACUAUAUUCUGCAGCAUUUUUGUUAGUCUUGUGGAAAGCUGAAAAAGGUUAGACUUUCUUGCCUUUACUAAAUCUGUAUUUGAAAUCAUCAUGCUAUACAGACAAUGUGCUUUUCUAAUUAAAAAUCCUUUAAAGUGGUGUGAAAAAAUAAAGAAUAGUUUUAGUACUUCUUUUAAGAAAUAUUAAUAACUAUGACACACUAAUACAUAUUCUCUAAAUGAAAAAAACUUAAAUUACAUUUUCUAUAUUGUCAUUUUUUGAAUGUGCUUAACAGACAUCAAAUACAACUCUCAUGUUUUCAUCCUGAUGUUAAUUUCCACGUCAGACAUAUCACACAAGGAUUCAAGGUGUCUCAUGGAAAACAGGUUUAAUAACCUUUGUCCACAAGACUGUACUCUCCCUUUCUGGACGAGGUCCUGAAGACAUUUUCCCUUUUUGCACUGUUUAUGAUCGAGGCCCAGAAUUGCAACUUUUACGCAUACUCCAUGGAAUGUCCAAUUUAACUACCUGAAAUUGAUGAAAUUAUUUCCACAUUUUAAAUUAAACCUACAUGUCUUUGAAUUAGAUCCAAAGCUGCAGAUAGUCUGAGAUCAUAGAAGUUUUCGCAUAUGUGAUUUUAUCUCACAUACGUCUUAUAAGACAAAAGUUACUUUUGAGAGCUUAGGAUUAAAAA